AGGAUGAACGCUGGCGGCGUGCUUAACACAUGCAAGUCGAACGGUGAAGCAGGAGCUUGCCCCUGCGGAUCAGUGGCGAACGGGUGAGUAACACGUGAGAAAUCUGCCCUGGACUCUGGGAUAAGCGUUGGAAACGACGUCUAAUACCGGAUACGAGACGUGAAGGCAUCUUCAACGUCUAGGAAAGACUUCGGUCCAGGAUGAUCUCGCGCUAUCAGUCUAGUUGGUGAGGUAACGGCCCACGAGGCGACGACGGUAGCCGGCUGAGACGGGUGACCGGCACGACGUGGACUGA
Molecule: ribosomal RNA, 295 nt
Filed under: uncultured soil bacterium
Lineage: Bacteria
Description: partial 16S ribosomal RNA
Rfam family: Bacterial small subunit ribosomal RNA
Source: RNAcentral